GCCUGGAUAGCUCAGCAGGUUAGAGCAUGGUGCUGAUGAUGCCAAGGUUGCAGGUUCAGUCCCCGUAUAGGACA
This is a non-coding RNA of Podarcis lilfordi (Lilford's wall lizard), 74 nucleotides long. The record is from the annotation of a GenBank genome assembly. NCBI's taxonomy places the organism in Eukaryota, Metazoa, Chordata, Lepidosauria, Squamata, Lacertidae.